RNAcentral lists this non-coding RNA (169 nucleotides) under Streptomyces sp. MP131-18. Its description in RNAcentral is "Streptomyces RNA 1601". It matches the Rfam family "Streptomyces RNA 1601". From Rfam's summary of the family: Identified by deep sequencing of transcriptome at the end of exponential growth phase. Lineage: Bacteria; Bacillati; Actinomycetota; Actinomycetes; Kitasatosporales; Streptomycetaceae. The record is from Rfam by way of RNAcentral.
AGUGACCGGCCGGACAUCGAUAUGCCCGGCCCGCAAGUGGAGGCUCCGCGCUCCCACCUGAUCGGCCCCCCGGGUCGGCAGGUCAUUGGUCAGGCUGCGCCCCGCGAUGAGCCGCGGUGGUGCUCCCGGUCUGUGGAGCCCCGCCUGCGAGCCGUUCGGGGCGUUUUUU